UAUUUUUUAAUUAAAUAUUUUUAGGUUUAUUAUUUAAUAAAAAUAAUUUUUAUUUAAGUAUCUUUAAGAAAUAAAUAUGAAUUUUAUAGGGAAUAGUACUGUGAAGGAAUUAUAUUUAAUAUAUUUGAAGUAAUUAUGUUUUUUUUACCUUUUGUAUCAGGGUUUAUUUAAUUUGUUAAUUUAUUUUUUCUUUCUCGAAAUUUCAAGAGCUAUAUUCUUAUGUUAUUUAAUGUUAUGUAUACCAAAAUUGGAAAAACAUCAAUACAUAUGUCUCCUAAGAUUUGUCCGAUAAAUAAACAUUCCAUCAUACAAGCCGAUAAACUGUAGUAUUCCGCCUCCGAACUCGCAAUAGCAACUGCUCCUUGUUUCUUGGAGCUCCAAACUAUCAAAUUUUGAGGAUAGUAAUCCCCAUCUUUUAUUUUGUAAAAAUUAUUUUUGUAAUGGUUUUUAUUUUUUUUGUUUUUAGAUUAUUAUUAAAAUAAAUAAAGUAAUUCUUAUUUUGUUGAAAAAAUGAUAAAAUUAGUAUUUUUAAAAAAUAAAUUAUAGUAAUUCGGCAAAUAUAAAUUUCACCUGUUUAACAAAAACAUGGUCUUUUGUUUAUAUAAAAGAUCUGGCCUGCCCCAUGUUAUUAAAUGGCUGCAGUAUAUUGACUGUACAAAGGUAGCAUAAUCACUUGUCUCUUAAUUGGAGUCUGGAAUGAAUGGUUGGAUGAAAAUUUUUCUUUCUUUAUUUUUUACAAAAAAUUUAAUCUUUAAAUUAAAAAGUUUAAAUAUUUAUAUAGGACGAGAAGACCCUAUAGAACUUUAUUCUCCCAAAAUAAUUAUUUUUUUGGAAAUAAUUUUUUAUUAUUUGAUGGGGAAUUUUGUUGGGGUGACAAAAAAAAUUUUAUAACUUUUUUUAUCUUUUUCAUUUAUAUAUGUAUUUUUGAUCCUUUAUUAUGGAUAAUAUGAUUAAGUUACCUUAGGGAUAACAGCGUUAUUGUUUUAGAGAGUUCAUAUUGAUAAAGCAGUUUGCGACCUCGAUGUUGGAUUAAAAUUAGUCUUAGGGGCAGAAUAUUAAUUGACUGGGUCUGUUCGACCUUUAAAUUUUUACAUGAUCUGAGUUCAGACCGGCGUGAGCCAGGUUGGUUUCUAUCCUUAUUUUUCUGAAAAGCUUUAGUACGAGAGGACCAUGCUUUGGGAAUAUUUUUUUGGUUUUGAUUAUUAU
RNAcentral lists this ribosomal RNA (1206 nucleotides) under Tuxedo flavicollis. Its description in RNAcentral is "16S ribosomal RNA". The stretch from base 781 to 1136 matches the Rfam family "Archaeal large subunit ribosomal RNA", at positions 2155 to 2712 of the family's 2987-position model. Lineage: Eukaryota; Metazoa; Arthropoda; Insecta; Hemiptera; Miridae. The record is from RNAcentral.